UGUCAAAUGAUUUUUCCUGAUCUUGACACUGCAUUCUUUUUUCCAAAGGUUGGAAGUUAACUCUUCAAGAUACCAGACUUCAUUUUUAUUGGGAUAUUAAUUCUGAUUAAAUAACAGAAAUCCAUCGACCCUUCAUCUCGAUCCAUAAGAGAGAUAGUAGAAAAGCUGGAGAAAAGAAUAUUCUAAGGGGAAAAAAAGAACAAGGCACCUAUACCUUUAAAGAAAGAACUGAGGACGACGUCUCCUUGCAUCUACUAAUGCACUCUGUGGAAGGUACAGGAGUACAUAGCAGCAAUUAACAGAGUGGGACAUCAGCAUCUGAUACUCUGAGUUCUGAGAAUUCUUUGAAAACCAGUUUAAAGAAAAUUUGGUAUGUGUUCUUACACUCAAAGAAUAAGAACUAGUCUUAAUUUGCUACUAUGUGUACCUUACCUGAAAAUGUCUCCCG
Molecule: long non-coding RNA, 448 nt
Filed under: Phascolarctos cinereus (koala)
Lineage: Eukaryota; Metazoa; Chordata; Mammalia; Diprotodontia; Phascolarctidae
Description: lncRNA (ENSPCIG00000033892.1)
Source: RNAcentral